Molecule: ribosomal RNA, 791 nt
Filed under: uncultured archaeon
Lineage: Archaea
Description: bacterial SSU rRNA
Rfam family: Archaeal small subunit ribosomal RNA
Source: RNAcentral
ACUGCUCAGUAACACGUGGACAACCUACCCUUGGGUCUGGCAUAAUCCUGGGAAACUGGGUAUAAUUCCGGAUAGGUCACAGAUGCUGGAAUGCACUGUGGCCGAAAGCUCCGGCGCCCAAGGAUGGGUCUGCGGCCUAUCAGGGUUGUAGUGGGUGUAACGGACCUACUAGCCUACGACGGGUACGGGUUGUGAGAGCAAGAGCCCGGAGAUGGAUUCUGAGACACGAAUCCAGGCCCUACGGGGUGCAGCAGGCGCGAAAACUUUACAAUGCUGGCAACAGCGAUAAGGGAACCUCGAGUGCCAGGUUACAAAUCUGGCUGUCGAGAUGCCUAAAAAGCAUUUCAUAGCAAGGGCCGGGCAAGACCGGUGCCAGCCGCCGCGGUAACACCGGCGGCUCGAGUGGUAACCGUUAUUAUUGGGUCUAAAGGGUCUGUAGCCGGCCGGAUAAGUCUCUUGAGAAAUCUGGCAGCUUAACUGUCAGGCUUUCAGGAGAUACUGUCUGGCUCGAGGCCGGGAGAGGUGAGAGGUACUUCAGGGGUAGGGGUGAAAUCUUGUAAUCCUUGAAGGACCACCAGUGGCGAAGGCGUCUCACCAGAACGGACCUGACGGCAAGGGACGAAAGCUAGGGGCACGAACCGGAUUAGAUACCCGGGUAGUCCUAGCCGUAAACGAUACUCGCUAGGUGUCGGCCACGGUGCGACCGUUGUCGGUGCCGUAGGGAAGCCGUGAAGCGAGCCACCUGGGAAGUACGGCCGCAAGGCUGAAACUUAAAGGAAUUGGCGGGGGAG